GCCACCUGGCUAAAGUCAGACUCCAGCUGCAUUAGGAAGCCUUAGCUUCCAUCAUGUUAUAGCUUACUUCUUUGGUUUACUUCUGAGCUGUAAAACCCUGAAGUGAGCCAGUGCAGGCCUGUGGCAUCUCCCUCUUGUCCCUCCCAUGCAGGGGGUCAGUGUUAGCUGAGGAGAUUUGUAGGAGAGGAAAGGAGCCUGAGCUACACCACUCUGAGUCCCACCUGAGUGUUAUUCAGACAGGGACAACUCCCACCUGGAGAAAGGUGUAUAAUGAAUAAAAGAGGGUGACAUUUUGAGGCCUUUGGAACUCCUCCAGUCUCUGUCUACACUUCCCUACUUCACCUGUUUUCUGAAAUAAAUGAAAGCUCCAGAGCCAGCUGCAUGUCUGAGAGGGGGUGUCAGCUGCACACCAGAGCAGAGCUGGGAGAUCUGCAGUCUCUUGGAUCAGAAAAUGCAGGAAUAUCCUUCUCGCUGAUCCCUUUGUGUAUUAUAAUGGGAUUCUCUAGAGCACAUGCUCUACCUGUUCACUCCUGGAAUCAUUGGGGAAAUAAGCAAACAUCUGUUGACAUGGGAAGUGAAAACUCCAAGAAAGCCCUUUCCCUCUGCAGAAAAGGUCACUCAUGCCCUGUGCUCCUUUGGCCACGCCUAGGACUGACAAACAUUGCUGCUGGGUUUGUUGUUGCUGUCAUUUCUGUUUGUGAUUUGAAUUCAAAGGUCAAAUUUGAUUUAAAUAACUCAUGGCCACUUGUAAUCAAAGCUAAUGAGCAAGUAAAUAAUUCAAUAAUUAAAAAAAAACCUCUUUGCCAAUAAGUCACUUUGCAUUUGUCCAGCCAGGGAUGAUAUUGGAAAUCUAAACAAAACAAGUCAAAACACGUGUGCAAGCACACUGAGUGGGACUCACAUGGGAGCAGAGACCAUCUGGAAUCACAGUUGUUCUCACAGCCAGAAGAGGCAGAAAGAUGCUGUCAAACAGGAGAGGUGCACAAGCGAGCCAUGGGAAGUUCCUGGGGCAGUGUGGAGGUGGCUUCUGAGCUUUUCCAUCUUGUGACCAACCUCUGCCCUUUGAUCUCUGUGCUGCAUGAGUUUUGUUCCAACUCACAGGUGCCAGGC
Long non-coding RNA from Passer domesticus (house sparrow), 1110 nucleotides. RefSeq lists it as uncharacterized. The record is from RefSeq and is a predicted model, not a curated record. The transcript is spliced from 3 exons. NCBI's taxonomy places the organism in Eukaryota, Metazoa, Chordata, Aves, Passeriformes, Passeridae.